This 2572-nucleotide long non-coding RNA is filed under the name Pan troglodytes (chimpanzee). Its description in RNAcentral is "long non-coding RNA NONPTRT003620". Lineage: Eukaryota; Metazoa; Chordata; Mammalia; Primates; Hominidae. The record is from RNAcentral.
CAGAAUCUCUCAACAAGUCUUUCUUUUAGAAACAUGAAAAUGAAUUUAAUGAAGAAGUGGCCUUGACAGAAAUUUACAAAUACAUCGUAAAAUAUUUUGAUGAGAUUCUAAAUAAACUAGAAAGAGAACGAGGGCUGGAAGAAGCUCAGAAACAACUCUUGCAUGUAAAAGUCUUAUUUGAUGAAAAGAAGAAAUGCAAGUGGAUGUAAGCACUCUGGGGCCUGGCUUAAUCUGGCAAAGUUCUUCAGACGACUUGGGAGCAAAAUGGCUGCUUGAGCUACUCUGUGUCGUUAAUUUCUUGUUUGCACAUAGGUUCCACUUUGGGCACUGUCUUUUUAAGAGACCAAGGCACAUGCACAGCUUUUAGAAAGCAUACCAACCCUUGUGCCUGUGUGUAUACCGUGGGAACCCUUCUGUAAAUAGAGUUGAAGUGGUUGUUGCAAACAGCCUCCUUGUUUACAGAGAAUACAGGGCCAGUAAGCGAAUGUCAGUAUUGUAACUACAGUCUCCACUUAAGCACAAUGAUAUAAGUGGUUUUGUUUGAAAACUACAGCUAUGUAGCACUUGUGCUACACUGCACCUCUGCAUUGUAAAGGGAUACUGCCAGUGCUCAAAACAAAAUGUGAAAUGAGUCAUUUGGAAACAAGGUGGGGGUGUUAGGGCAACCUCGAGGAUUUGCAGCAUUGAAACUUUCCCCAGUAGUUCUUGGAAAAGCUGACCGCAGAAUUUGGUAGUGUACACUUAGCAUUUGUGAGUGUGUGUGUGUGUUUAAACCAAAAACUAACAGUGUUGCAACAUUGUUGAAAGGGCUCGUGUUUUUCAGUGGUCAUCAACUGCACUCCAUCAAACUCACCUCCAUUUCACCAAGGAGCUCUAAAGUAAGGAGAGUGGGCUUUAUUUAAAUGAACAGCAUUUUAACCAGAUACUUUGUCCUAAUGUAUGUUCCUUUUCUUCAUCUAUUUUUUCAUACUAAAUGUAUUUGAUAGUGGACAUGUUGGAUAUUAUACAAAAAAAUCAUUAAUUCAUUUCUGUUCCAAAACCUUUGAUCAGAACGAUCUGUGGAAGAGUAACUCCAUUUCUAUAUGAGUGUCUCCUUGCUUUAGAUUUCUGGUGAACCCUGUGGUUAUGAAUACUUGUGUGUGAUUUAAAAAAAAAAAGAUAGAUACAUUUUACAUUUCAUCGAAUUGCUGUUCACACUGGAGUAUUAUAUAUAAAUAUAUAUAUUUGAGGCCCAAGGCCUGAAAAAUAUUAGUAUACAACUUGGUAUCUUAGUCUUACUAUGUACUUUUUGAAAGUAUUCCUCGCAGGAGAAAGAAUUUAAAAUACCCAUUUUAUUCAUGCCUUUCUUUUUAAAGAAUUCUCUAUCCAGUUAUACUGUAGUCUUUUUAGUGCUGAUUUUUUAUUCCUGAAUUUUUGCUGCUCAUGACCAGUUUUAAUACCACUGUGUUUUCCUUCUAUUAAACCAGAAGUAGUAAACAGCAUAAUUGGCAACUCUUGAGCUUUUCUUGUGGCAGGCACCUUUUACCCUUGGUGCUCCAAAUCCCCCAUCUAGGAAAGAAAAUUUUUUCAAGUCAAAUAACAUUGAUCACAUAUUCCUUGAAAUCAUUUACCAACACUGUAUGGAGCAUUAGGAUUUAAAUAUGAAUUUGUCUUAAAGGCAAUUCCUUUUUGCUUCUGUAUUAUCUGGAAAAGCAUGAGAGAGGUGACACCUCAACAAACUGAUCAGAGAAAAUAAGCAGUUACUACCCUGAUAGGCACCUUCCCAAUCCUGUUGCUUUUGACCAUUGUCUGUCCAACGGACACACCUCAAACAAACAAAACUACCAAAUAGAUGACAGAUCAGAAUAAAGGUGAGAGGUCUGGUCGCCAUUGAAGGCUGCUACAGUCUUCAAAGAGGUGAAGGAGUUCAUAAGAGAACAACAGUAGGAAAGUUGAGAGCCAAGGGUAGGAGAGUUGCCCAAAAGACUUCCCCUACUACUUUAGGGUACUGAAAACUCAAAGGAUCAGCUACAGCUUUAUCUAAGUAUUUACUAAAUGCUACAUGAGGGUGUCCCUGUCCAGCUUUCUGGCACAUGAGUCCUGUGUGGAGAGUUACCUCCUCUUCCAGGGACUGUGCUGUUGGGAACUUUGGGCAAGUCACUUACCUCUUUGUGCCUCAAUUUCUGUAUAAUAUUUCUAAGCUACCUCACUGAGGUGGUAUGAAGAUUCACUAAUGUAUGUAGCGUGUUUGUCAAUCCUCCAGUGAAAAGCACUAUCUAGAUCACAUUUUGGAUCACAUUAGCCAAAUGCAGUAAAUGGCCAAAUUAGAUGUGUGCUGAAGACAAUCAGUCACUGGGUCUAUAUUAAACAGCAACCAGAGCAACAAAUGGCAAACAAUUUCUAUUUUCAAGUUUCUUUGCAUAUUUUUUUGGUGCAAAACCAUUUAUAAACUUUUUUUUCUAACACUAGUGUCUACAGCAGCAUUUAAAAAAAAUUCUGUUACCUUUUCUGUAUUAGGAUUUAAAGUCUAUUUCUUAUUGUAUACCUGAUUGAAGCUGUUCUUGGAGAUGAAUGUUUUAAAUGUCUAUAUCCA